RNAcentral lists this ribosomal RNA (431 nucleotides) under uncultured bacterium. Its description in RNAcentral is "partial 16S ribosomal RNA". It matches the Rfam family "Bacterial small subunit ribosomal RNA", at positions 29 to 507 of the family's 1533-position model. The record is from RNAcentral.
AACGAACGCUGGCGGCAGGCUUAACACAUGCGAGUCGAACGCCCCGCAAGGGGAGUGGCGCCCGGGUGAGUAACGCGUGGAUAUCUGCCUUUUGGUUCGGAAUAACCCCGGGAAACUGGGGCUAAUACCGGAUGGUUCCUACGGGAUAAAGAUUUAUCGCCAAAAGAUGAGUCCGCGUACGAUUAGCUAGUUGGUGAGGUAAUGGCUCACCAAGGCGACGAUCGUUAGCUGGUCUGAGAGGACGAUCAGCCACACUGGGACUGAGACACGGCCCAGACUCCUACGGGAGGCAGCAGUGGGGAAUAUUGGACAAUGGGGGCAACCCUGAUCCAGCCAUGCCGCGUGAGUGAUGAAGGCCUUCGGGUUGUAAAGCUCUUUUGGCGGGGACGAUGAUGACGGUACCCGCAGAAUAAGCCCCGGCUAACUUCGUG